This 363-nucleotide ribosomal RNA is filed under the name uncultured bacterium. RNAcentral's name for it is "partial 16S ribosomal RNA". It matches the Rfam family "Bacterial small subunit ribosomal RNA", at positions 338 to 698 of the family's 1533-position model. The record is from RNAcentral.
CCUACGGGAGGCAGCAGUGAGGAAUAUUGGUCAAUGGGCGCGAGCCUGAACCAGCCAAGUAGCGUGAAGGAUGACUGCCCUACGGGUUGUAAACUGCUUUUAUAAAGGAAUAAAGUGAGGCACGUGUGCCUUUUUGUAUGUACUGUAUGAAUAAGGAUAGGCUAACGCCGGGCCAGCAGCGGCGGUAAUACGGAGGAGACGAGCGUUAUCCGGCUUUAUUGGGUUUACAGGGAGCGUAGAGGGGUGGUUAAGUCAGUUGUGAGAGUUUGCGGCUCAACCGUACAAUUGCAAUUGAUACGGGCAGCCUUGCGUACAGUUGAGGUAGGCGGAAUUCGUGUUGUAGCUGUGACAUGCUUAGAUAUC